AUACAGAGGGUGCGAGCGUUAAUCGGAAUUACUGGGCGUAAAGAGCACGUAGGUGGACAAGUAAGUUGGGUGUGAAAUCCCCGGGCUUAACCUGGGAAUGCCAUCCAAAACUGUUUGUCUAGAGUAUGGUAGAGGGAAGUGGAAUUUCCGGUGUAGCGGUGAAAUGCGUAGAUAUCGGAAGGAACACCAGUGGCGAAGGCGGCUUCCUGGACUAAUACUGACACUGAGGUGCGAAAGCGUGGGGAGCAAACAGGAUUAGAAACCCCAGUAGUCC
Molecule: ribosomal RNA, 274 nt
Filed under: uncultured bacterium
Lineage: Bacteria
Description: partial 16S ribosomal RNA
Rfam family: Bacterial small subunit ribosomal RNA
Source: RNAcentral